RNAcentral lists this ribosomal RNA (543 nucleotides) under Triticum aestivum (bread wheat). RNAcentral's name for it is "partial small subunit ribosomal RNA". Lineage: Eukaryota; Viridiplantae; Streptophyta; Magnoliopsida; Poales; Poaceae. The record is from RNAcentral.
AUGAGAGCUCUGAUUGACAGCUACUUCCAGAACUUGUUCACGGCAGAGGUACAUGUCGUGAACCAGGAAGUACUCGAGAAGGUUAAACCAAGAGUAACACCAUACAUUGAGGAGGAAGUGAAGAGAGCAUUGUUCAGCAUUGACGAUCUAAAGGCUCCUGGGCCAUAUGGCUUACACGCAAUAUUUUAUAAAAAGUUUUGGCAUUUAAUCGGUGAUGAUCUUACAAAAGAAGUAUUGUAUGCUGUGAGUAGUGGGGUCAUCCCAGAGGGAUGGAACACAACCACGAUAGUGCUGAUUCCCAAAGUUGAUACGCCGGAGAAUGUCUCACAAUUUAGGCCAAUAAGCCUCUGUAAUGUUGUUUACAAAGUAAUAGCGAAGAUGCUAGCAGCUAGGCUAAAGAUUUUUCUUCCUGAUAUUAUUAGUGAGACACAUAGCGUUUUUGUUCCAGGGCAUAUCAUUACUGAUAAUGUAAUUGUGGCUUACGAGUGUUUACAUACCAUGAAGAAGAAGAAGAAGAAAGGAAAAGUUGGCCAUGUGCUGUGA